GAUGAACGCUAGCGGCAGGCCUAACACAUGCAAGUCGAGGGAGGAGCCUUCGGGCUUCGACCGGCGUACGGGUGCGUAACGCGUAUACAAUCUGCCUUUCACAUAGGGAUAGCCCGAAGAAAUUUGGAUUAAUACCUAAUGGUAUAUAGAUGUGGCAUCACCUUUAUAUUAAAGCUGAGGCGGUGAAAGAUGAGUAUGCGUUCUAUUAGCUAGUUGGAGAGGUAACGGCUCCCCAAGGCGACGAUAGAUAGGGGUUCUGAGAGGGAUAUCCCCCACACUGGUACUGCGAUACGGACCAGACUCCUACGGGAGGAAGCAGUGAGGAAUAUUGGACAAUGGUCGGAAGACUGAUCCAGCCAUGCCGCGUGCAGGAAGACGGCCUUAUGGGUUGUAAACUGCUUUUGCAGGGGAAGAAUAAGGACUACGCGUAGUUUGAUGACGGUACUCUGCGAAUAAGCAUCGGCUAACUCCGUG
This 474-nucleotide ribosomal RNA is filed under the name uncultured bacterium. RNAcentral describes it as "partial 16S ribosomal RNA". It matches the Rfam family "Bacterial small subunit ribosomal RNA", at positions 28 to 507 of the family's 1533-position model. The record is from RNAcentral.